Molecule: ribosomal RNA, 1542 nt
Filed under: Escherichia coli
Lineage: Bacteria; Pseudomonadati; Pseudomonadota; Gammaproteobacteria; Enterobacterales; Enterobacteriaceae
Description: bacterial SSU rRNA
Rfam family: Bacterial small subunit ribosomal RNA
Source: RNAcentral
AAAUUGAAGAGUUUGAUCAUGGCUCAGAUUGAACGCUGGCGGCAGGCCUAACACAUGCAAGUCGAACGGUAGCAGGAAGAAGCUUGCUUCUUCGCUGACGAGUGGCGGACGGGUGAGUAAUGUCUGGGAAACUGCCUGAUGGAGGGGGAUAACUACUGGAAACGGUAGCUAAUACCGCAUAACGUCGCAAGACCAAAGAGGGGGACCUUCGGGCCUCUUGCCAUCGGAUGUGCCCAGAUGGGAUUAGCUUGUUGGUGGGGUAACGGCUCACCAAGGCGACGAUCCCUAGCUGGUCUGAGAGGAUGACCAGCCACACUGGAACUGAGACACGGUCCAGACUCCUACGGGAGGCAGCAGUGGGGAAUAUUGCACAAUGGGCGCAAGCCUGAUGCAGCCAUGCCGCGUGUAUGAAGAAGGCCUUCGGGUUGUAAAGUACUUUCAGCGGGGAGGAAGGGAGUAAAGUUAAUACCUUUGCUCAUUGACGUUACCCGCAGAAGAAGCACCGGCUAACUCCGUGCCAGCAGCCGCGGUAAUACGGAGGGUGCAAGCGUUAAUCGGAAUUACUGGGCGUAAAGCGCACGCAGGCGGUUUGUUAAGUCAGAUGUGAAAUCCCCGGGCUCAACCUGGGAACUGCAUCUGAUACUGGCAAGCUUGAGUCUCGUAGAGGGGGGUAGAAUUCCAGGUGUAGCGGUGAAAUGCGUAGAGAUCUGGAGGAAUACCGGUGGCGAAGGCGGCCCCCUGGACGAAGACUGACGCUCAGGUGCGAAAGCGUGGGGAGCAAACAGGAUUAGAUACCCUGGUAGUCCACGCCGUAAACGAUGUCGACUUGGAGGUUGUGCCCUUGAGGCGUGGCUUCCGGAGCUAACGCGUUAAGUCGACCGCCUGGGGAGUACGGCCGCAAGGUUAAAACUCAAAUGAAUUGACGGGGGCCCGCACAAGCGGUGGAGCAUGUGGUUUAAUUCGAUGCAACGCGAAGAACCUUACCUGGUCUUGACAUCCACGGAAGUUUUCAGAGAUGAGAAUGUGCCUUCGGGAACCGUGAGACAGGUGCUGCAUGGCUGUCGUCAGCUCGUGUUGUGAAAUGUUGGGUUAAGUCCCGCAACGAGCGCAACCCUUAUCCUUUGUUGCCAGCGGUCCGGCCGGGAACUCAAAGGAGACUGCCAGUGAUAAACUGGAGGAAGGUGGGGAUGACGUCAAGUCAUCAUGGCCCUUACGACCAGGGCUACACACGUGCUACAAUGGCGCAUACAAAGAGAAGCGACCUCGCGAGAGCAAGCGGACCUCAUAAAGUGCGUCGUAGUCCGGAUUGGAGUCUGCAACUCGACUCCAUGAAGUCGGAAUCGCUAGUAAUCGUGGAUCAGAAUGCCACGGUGAAUACGUUCCCGGGCCUUGUACACACCGCCCGUCACACCAUGGGAGUGGGUUGCAAAAGAAGUAGGUAGCUUAACCUUCGGGAGGGCGCUUACCACUUUGUGAUUCAUGACUGGGGUGAAGUCGUAACAAGGUAACCGUAGGGGAACCUGCGGUUGGAUCACCUCCUUA